This 360-nucleotide long non-coding RNA is filed under the name Zea mays. Its description in RNAcentral is "long non-coding RNA (ZMAY_LNC005457)". Lineage: Eukaryota; Viridiplantae; Streptophyta; Magnoliopsida; Poales; Poaceae. The record is from RNAcentral.
CUCAUACAUGGCCCACUCGGUGGUGACCAAGGUAGUAUCAGCAGCUUCUAUGACUGCUUCCCACACCAGCAUUAGCAAUUGUUCAUCCGUCAGUGUAUUCUCAGCCAGCAGGAAGUCCACGUACGACAUCCUACUCUGCAUUACGUUGGGGUUUUACUGAUUUAAGAACUGAAGAACAAUAAUCUUUCUGUUCUCACCCAAGUAAAAAAAAAAUUAAACUGUGCCUUUUUGUUUGAUUUGUAGGUACCUCUCCACGUGCGAUCCUUUCCUUUUGCUGAUUGAUCAGGGCUUGCAUAAGUGCAGUUCUCCUGGCUUCCGUAGUCAAUACUCUUGUUUCAAAGCUCCUGUUUGGGAUCCAGC